Molecule: ribosomal RNA, 484 nt
Filed under: uncultured bacterium
Lineage: Bacteria
Description: partial 16S ribosomal RNA
Rfam family: Bacterial small subunit ribosomal RNA
Source: RNAcentral
AUUGAACGCUGGCGGCAGGCCUAACACAUGCAAGUCGAGCGGAUGAAGGGAGCUUGCUCCUGGAUUCAGCGGCGGACGGGUGAGUAAUGCCUAGGAAUCUGCCUGGUAGUGGAGGAUAACGUCCGGAAACGGGCGCUAAUACCGCAUACGUCCUGAGGGAGAAAGUGGGGGAUCUUCGGACCUCACGCUAUCAGAUGAGCCUAGGUCGGAUUAGCUAGUUGGUGGGGUAAAGGCCUACCAAGGCGACGAUGCGUAACUGGUCUGAGAGGAUGAUCAGUCACACUGGAACUGAGACACGGUCCAGACUCCUACGGGAGGCAGCAGUGGGGAAUAUUGGACAAUGGGCGAAAGCCUGAUCCAGCCAUGCCGCGUGUGUGAAGAAGGUCUUCGGAUUGUAAAGCACUUUAAGUUGGGAGGAAGGGCAGUAAGUUAAUACCUUGCUGUUUUGACGUUACCAACAGAAUAAGCACCGGCUAACUUCGUG